This 1795-nucleotide long non-coding RNA is filed under the name Vigna radiata. Its description in RNAcentral is "long non-coding RNA (VRAD_LNC010844)". Lineage: Eukaryota; Viridiplantae; Streptophyta; Magnoliopsida; Fabales; Fabaceae. The record is from RNAcentral.
AACCCACGCACACAGCCAAACCCAACCUCCUUUCUGUCAUCACCUUCUUCUACUUUACCAUCUUCUCCUGCUUUUUCUACAAUCGCCAAUCUCCAUGAAUCGUGUAGCAUUGCCCAAAUACCUUGCCCACCGUUGCAGAGGCAUUCACCUCACAACUUGGAAGAGGUUUGGUAAUCGUUGCGAAAGUCAGGUCCAAGGUGUCGGGCCCCUGGGCUCUCUUCUCAAGUCCCGUUCCGUUAUACGGUUCCGCGGGCCUGACACCCUCAAGUUCCUACAGGGCCUCCUUACCAACGAUGUACGGAGGUUGGGUGACCCCAUUGGUGACAAAACUGAAAACUUGCCCACGCCGAACGUACCUGCUACGUCGAUUCCUCCUAUAUAUGCUGCCUUAUUGACCCCUCAAGGGAGAUUCCUCUACGACCUCUUUCUCUAUAAGCCUCCCACGAGGGACACCAAGCUCGAUAACACCGGCUCUGCUCCAGAGUCCAACUCCGAUGAACCCUUUCAUUUGUUUGCUGACGUGGAUGCUUCUGUGUUGGAUGAAUUGUUGCAAACCUUCAACAAGUGAGUUUAAUCUUUCUUUAUUUUAGUUUGGUUUAUUUGCUCUGUUAUGUAUCAAUGUAUCAUUGAUUCUUUUCGCGCCAUUGCUUUGAUUUAGACUUAAUUUCUCAACUUCACCUCUGAGUUAUGUAUGGGAAGGGAGAGAGAGAGAGAGAGAGAAGUUACUUCACUUUCAAUUAACAGUUAGUUUUUUUAUUUUUGGCAAUUCAUUUUUAUUACUUUUUCGCCAUUCGCACUUGGAAAGAUAAUUAUAUAUCCUUGGCCUUAAAAGGGUUAUAAUAUCUACCAUGAUUCUGAUUGAUUCACAGAUAUAAGUUUUAAGAUGAAAAGUACAUAGAAAUCAAACUCUACUAAUUAGGUGAAUUUUUAAGAGGAGCAAGUACGAGUAGAAGAAUGUAGAAUUGUUCUUGUAUUCAAUCCUUGUCUCCAAGCUUAACCUGGUGCAACCGCUAACGAGUCUUCCAAACACACUGAAGAGCAUUGAACAAUCUUUGUGUUUUCCAUAUAUAAAAUAAAUGCUCUGGUUUUUUUCCUAUAACUAGUGUCCUAGCAUUUGUCUUAAAGCUGUAGCUGAUAGAUACUGAAUGGUAUAGAACUGAUAGAAUCAAAUAGGAUUAGGGAAAAGAAACAAUGAAAAGAACUGAUAGUAACCGCUUAACCUCCUCUCAACUGUUCUGUGCCUCUUUUAUAGGGACCUGUUACGCAAUUCCCAUCUCUACUACUCUAUUUUUGCUCCUUCAUAUACCCUUUUAUUGCAUCCAUUUAUCGUGGUUAUGUUACACUGCAUAUGCAUGCUAUAAAGUCUGAUGAACUAGAUGUUUAGCCUGUGCACACAGUAGAUCGUUUGUGUUGCCUUGGCAUGUUGUUUUUGACGUGAUCAAAGCAAGUUCAUAAUUCGCUUGUGGUUUUUGGUUGCAGUUGAUCUUCUUCCUACACCUAUUGAUUUAUCUGUUCUUAUUUCCUAGCGGAAACCUUAUCAUUUUAGUGUUGCAGAUACCGGUUGUAUUACACAGCAUAUGCAUUGUAUAAAGUGUGGUUAUUUUACACUAAACAUGUAUCCUAUAAAGUCUGAUGAACUAGCUUUUUAGCCUCUGAAUAUAGGUAGAUCGUUUGACUUGCCUUGGCAUCUUGUUUUUUUCGUGAUCAGAGCAAUCCGGUUCAUGCUUUGGUUGUGGUUUUGGGUUGCAGUUGAUCUUAUUCCUUGUUGAUUUAUCGCUUCUUAUUUCUGAGCAGA